This 231-nucleotide ribosomal RNA is filed under the name Triticum aestivum (bread wheat). Its description in RNAcentral is "partial small subunit ribosomal RNA". The record is from RNAcentral. Lineage: Eukaryota; Viridiplantae; Streptophyta; Magnoliopsida; Poales; Poaceae.
AUGAAACAGGGGACCGAGCAGCAGGAGGAAGGAAGCAGCGGCACUGGAGGGUCCUGGCCGGUGGAGGACGACGUGGAGAAGGCAUCGGGGAUGGACGUCUCUGGCCGAAGCCAAAGCCAUGAUGGGGCGACCUGGGAAGAGGCGGAGAAGCAGUCGCGCGGGUCGAGCGAAGGGGCGCCGGCUGGCGUUGGACUUGGCGGCUUGCAGGUCUGGAAGAGAUGGCGCAUGUGA